CAGUGGUGCGAUCUCGGCUCACUGCAAGCUCCGCCUCCCAGGUUCACGCCAUUCUCCUGCCUCAGCCUCCCAAGUAGCUGGGACUACAGGGGCCCACCACCAUGCCUGGCUAAUUUUUUUUUAUUUUUAGUAGAGAUGGGGUUUCACUGUGUUAGCCAGGAUGGUCUCAAUCUCCCGACCUCGUGAUCUUCCCGCCUUGGCCUCCCAAAGUGCUGGGAUUACAGGCGUGAGCCACUGCACCAGGCCUAUAUUCCUAAUUAUUAUUACUUGACUGCCUCUCUAGGGAUAGUUUCUUACUUCCUUCAACACCAAUGACGAGGGCAGGAAUUUUAGUCUGCCUUGUUUACUAAUGACUCUCUAGAGACUAGAACAGUUUCUGGCACAUAGUAGGCUGUCAAUAAAUUUUGGCUGAAAGAAUGAAUGGAAGUUGGUAUGGCAAUUCUGAAUUUUUCAAUGCCAAACUCAUUUACUACAAAUUUGCUGACUAAAGAAGAAAGGCAACUCUUUGUCUAUUUUAACCUCUGGUCAUCUCAGCAAUCUCUUAGCUUCAAAAUUUCUUUUCUCCAGAGCACCUUCCUUGACCUCUUCAAAUAGGUUAGUUGCCCUUGAUAUAGGAUCCAAAUAUAUACUGCAUUCCCUUGACAUGGCAAUUUUCACACAUUAUUUUAAUGAUUUGUUUAGUUGCCUCUUUUCCUGGCUACAUUGUAAUCUCUAUAAGGGCAAGAUCUGUGUUUUGCUCACCACUGUGACUAUAGGCUCAGCACUGAACUGGGCAUGAAGAGGUCUGUUUGUGGAUAAUUGUUUAAUAAAUGAUUGAAAGAGGAUACUCCUUUCAACUUACUUUUCUACUUGUUAUUUACACGGAACUUUCACAUUCCCUAGGCUGAAGCGGGAGAGUGGUUUGAGCUGGGGAGGCAAAGGUUGCAGUGAGCUGAGAUUGUGCCACUGCAGUCCAGCCUGGGUGACAGAGUGGGAUCCCCACCUCAAUAAAUAAAUAAAUAAAUAAAAUUAAAAAAACCCCUCAUUCUGUAUUAGUUAUCUAUUGCAGCAUAAUAAAUUACUUCAAAAGCCAGUGACUUAUUAACUCUUAAAAUGUCUGUGUACUCUGGUUCAGGGUCUUCCAUGAGGUUAGAGUCAGAUGUUAGUGAGGACUGCAGUCAUCUGAAGGCUUGGUGGAGGCUGGAGGAUCCACUUCCAAGAUGAUGCACUCCCAUGACUGUUGUUGGGGGGCCUCAAUUUCUUUCCACACGAGCCCCUUCACAGGACUGCUGGAGUUCUUGAUGACAUGGUGUCUGGCUUCACCUAGAAUGAGUGAUGUAACUGAACAUGGUGGUACUGCAAUGCCUCCCGUGAUUCUUCUUGGAAGUCACACACCAUCAUAUCCUAUGGGUCACAUAGACCAAUGCUGAUUCAGUGUGAGGGGAAAGUUUACAAGGACAUGGAUGACAGGAGGCAGGGAUCAUUGGGGUCCCUAGUACAGACUGGUUAUCACACAUACCAUUUUAUAUCUCCUCUUCCCAUCAAGCCUGUGAGAUACUACCCUUAUUUUACAGAUGAGAAAACUGAGGCUGUCAGUGAAUUGCCUAAGGUCUUAACCUGUACUUAAACAAAGUUUUUUCCUUCCAAGUUAAGUGUACUUUCCAAUAUAUCAUAACUGUAUGACUAACUGAAUAAAUUAUAUAUAGCUUCGAUAAACCCAAGAUAUAAAAAUUGAAAUGCCAAAUUAGAAAAAUUAUUUGUAUUAUAAAAGAAUCAACCAUGUCAUAGGAUUACUUAAAUGGCAUAAGCAAACUGACUAACUUUAUCAAAAUGAGUUUUAACAUGAAUUUUGGAGACACAUGUAUUGGGUAAUGGGAAAUGUACAUUUGAAAAUGUGUGUGUGUUGGAAACAAUCAUACUAGAUUGUAAACUUCUUGAAGGCAGGAAUAGAGACAGUCUUAUCUCCAACACCAAGCCUGGGAUCUAGUACAGAGGAAACUCAAUUGAAGUUUAUUAAAUAAAUGAAUGAUUAUGAAAAAAUAUCUGUAGCUACAGUAUAUUAAAAAGAUUUUUGUAUAUGAGAAUGUGACAUUUUUAGAAUAUGUUUUAUGCUUAUUUCAUAAGUAAUGGACCUACUGAGUUUUAUGUUACUACAUUACCUAAAACUUAUUUAGAUUUUAGUACUGGCCUGACAUAACAUGUUUUAAAAUUUUGCAUCCCUGUUGAGUUGCAAGGCUGAAAAGCUAACAAAUGUUUAAAUGAAAACAAAGGAAAAGGCAAGAAGAAUAAUCUCAUCUAAAGAAGGGAUAAAAGACCUGUUUUUCAGAACAUGUAGGCAAAUGGAACAGUGUUUAUUUUUAGACUCAAUUAACCAACCAGACUAAUAUUCUAAACAUGAAUAAUUUUUUUCCAUUAAAAAAGUACUGAAGAAUUAAAAAAAAAUAAAAAGUUUAAAAAAAUGCAUCACACUCCAAUUGGGCUGAGGAGUUAAGGAGGUUUUAUCUGAUAUUUUUUAAAUAGCCAGGGGACCUAAUGUUUUCUGAUUUGAACACUAUUGCUAUUUGUCAAUAUUUUCUAAGAGAAGGUGAACAGACAUGCCUCUUUGAAAUGAUUCCUUAUCAACUCUUGUCUGCAAAAUUAGUGGAUCAUCAGGCUUACAUUAGUAUGGUUGUUAGUAUAAGCUCACAUAGGGGAUCAAAUUAUGGCAGGACAUAGAUAAAAAAGUUAAAGCAAGAUCUCUGCUAAAUGACUACAGUUGAGGACAAGAAGGUUAGCAUUAGGAUCCUGAUCACAUUGAUGGGGUGCGAAUAUUUUAUACCUUGAUGUGGUUUACUUUUGCGAUGGUGGUAAUGCGAGAUGAGUUCUGUCUACACUAGUUCAGGUAGUGUAGAUGGACAUUUGCAAGAGUAAAUUUCUCAGCUAAGUUUUCUGCAUGGAUUUGGUGUUUGUAUUUCUUCUGCUCAAUUAGUCUUGUUAGGGGGUCUGAAAGUUGAAGCAUGUACAAGAAAAAUGGUAAACACCACAUGAGACUCAGCCCUCCUUCCCCAUGGCAGACUUUUGUCACUGAGUUAUUGGUUUGAGUUUGCAAAAGAGCAAGAGAUUGGCAAAAUUAGGAGACCUCAUAAUUAUCAACUGUAAGAGGAGAACUCUAUAAAUAACAAUGAAUAGAAAUGUACCCUGAUAAAUCAAUAACUUUCUUGGUAUUAACUGAAGAUGGUAAAUUGGACUCCCCUGAGAGGAACUGUAAGGAAAACACUUGCUUUUGAUGUAAGUUGUUGAGGAUGAUCAUUUAAUGUUUUGAAUAUAAUAGGAACAUAAUAAGAAUUUACAAAAAUUUACUUAAAAACCUUAAACCAAAAACAUUUAACAGAUUGGUUCCUGUUUUAUGUAAAAUUUACCCAUGAAAGAUUAAAACUAGAAAGAACCAUUGAUACCACUUAUUCCAAUCUUCUCCCCAUUUUACAGCUGUAAAAACUAAGGCUCAGAGUAGUGAAUGAAUUCACAUAAGUUCACAAAGCUCAUAACUGGUAGCAGUGGAGCUGGUGAAAUUGCUGCAGCCUUUGUUGGCCUUCCCACUCAUAUCACCACAGCCUCUGUAAUGAGGGCACGGAAAAUAAGCUGCCAUGUUGAGAGUUGCCUGUGGAGAGGGUCACUUGCCAAGGAACCUAUCUGGAUGACAAACAGAUGAGGACUCAGUUCCAUAGUGUUCAGUCUAAGGAACUUAGUGCUGUUAACAACUGUGUGAACUUGGAAGUGAAUCCUUCUCCAGUUGAGCCUCAGAUGAGACCCCAGCCCUGACAGUCCCUUGAUGGCAGCCUUAUAGAGGAUCCAGCUAAGCCAUGAAAGAAGAGUCUUUGCCUCCCGCCAUGAUUCUGAGGCCUCCCCGGCCAUGUGGAACUGCAAGUCCAAUUAAACCUUUUUUUGUUCCCAGUUUGGGUAUGUGUUUAUCAGCAGCAUGAAAAUGAACUAAUACAUAUAUCUAAAAUAAUAAUAAUAAUAAUAAUGAUGAUGAAAAAAGUGGAAUAUAAGUGGAUAUAAAUAUAAUUUGCAAUAGCCCACAGAUGUGGCUCUGGGUGCACUGUGUAUGAGUCACCCCUGCUCCACAGGAGCAGCUCCAGUUCAAUAAAAGAUUGCUGUCUAACUCCACUGUCUCACCCUUGAAUUCCUUCCUGGGCAAAGCCAAGAACCCUCCCGGACUA
This is a long non-coding RNA of Pan troglodytes (chimpanzee), 4178 nucleotides long. RefSeq lists it as uncharacterized. The transcript is spliced from 3 exons. The record is from RefSeq and is a predicted model, not a curated record. NCBI's taxonomy places the organism in Eukaryota, Metazoa, Chordata, Mammalia, Primates, Hominidae.